GAUUUCAACUGAAAAAGUCAUCAACAAUAAAGUUGUAUAACUCAUCAAGAUCUAUAACUUUUAUUUUGGUUAUUUCUUCAUCCGACAAAGUGGUAGUAACAUUGUUCACAAAAUUCACAUAUCUCUCAUCUGGUUUUAUAAACUAUAACACAUAUAUGUAAAUUUUGUGAACAAUGUUACUAACACUUUGUCGGAUGAAGAAAUGGUAAACAUAAAAGUUAUAGAUCUUGGUGAGUUAUACAACUUUGUUGUUGAUGACUUUUUUAGUUGAAAUC
This is a non-coding RNA of Oryza glumipatula, 275 nucleotides long. The record is from Rfam. Lineage: Eukaryota; Viridiplantae; Streptophyta; Magnoliopsida; Poales; Poaceae.